UCGAACUGCGGAAGCACGUGUAGUACUUAUACAAUGAACUUUUCUACCUCAUACGCAGUACGUAGAGAUACCAUAUCUUCAUCAGUGCUGAAUUCAUAACCUGAUCAUUUGGACACCCAAUUGUGUUUCCGAAAAUGUACGUUAAGUCAACCGACCGCUGGAAAAUGGAGACGCUGCCCUCAAUAACGAGGCAGCCACUUUCCUGAACCCACAACACCACCCAAGAAGCAGAUCUACAGCCAGUGUAACGAACUACCCAUUUUGGUGAUUGCUCUGUAUAUGAGAGGCGGUUCGUUACGGAAAUCGUUGUACCGAAAACAUUUGUGUUGGUUCUAGGAAUUGAAGAUAGAAGAAGAAAAUAGGCUUAAAUUUCUAGAGUUGUGUUUCAGCCGCCGCGCCGCUACCGUAAGAAAAAGCUACCGUUUGCAACCGUUCCCGUCAAGAUUUUUCAAUUUUUUUCGUUGUGUGCGAAUGCUUUUGUCAUUUUGAAAACGAGGGCGAAUUGGUUUUAGUUUCCUAAAAAAACAAGCUUAAAACCAGUCGAGGCCGUGCACCUUGCUAUCGCCGACCCCGCCGGUUGAUCACAAAAUCAAUUAGCAAUAGGUGUCAAGUGGAUUACCGAAUUUUGGAAUUUCAUAUCGCCUAUUGAGGUGAGUAUAAUUAGCGGUAGCUGAUUAAAUGAGAUGCAGUAAACAGCAUCCGACAAAUAAGUCGCGAGGGGUCUCAAAAGAAGCGCUCUUAAUUAAUUUAAAUAAAACCAAUUAAUUUUUAAGUCAUCCGCAGGCCGCACAAUUAAUUAUGGAGGUUUUAAUUUUUGGGUGUAGAUACCUUAACCCUCGCCUUAACCCAUUAUGCUGUGUCGACUGUAAAAACGGUCGAUCACUCCAUGAAAUGGCCGAAUUUUAGAAAUGGUAAAGCCGUUGUUUAGAGGGGAUCUUUUGCAUCUUCGCAAGUUACGUUUCGUAAGUACCGUAAUUAUGAGCUUUUCUGUUGCUUUUUUUUGCACAGCAAUUUCUACCGCUCCAUUUUAUAGCAAGGUAAGCUUUUUGCUACUUCCUGUAUUUGCUUUCUCGUAGACACCGUGAAUUAAUUUCUGUUUUGUUGCUUACAUUUCCGCUAGGAAGUGUUGUAAUUUGGCAACCGCCGCCAUUUUGCUGAACCCGUGCAAUUCCUGGAACCGCCGUUUACUCUGAUUGAGUGUGCCGAGCUUACCGUCGUAGACCGCUACUACCCCGACCUUGACCAGGGGCAUUCCUUGGUGGCGCCCGAGUGCAGUUGCCUGCCUCCGUUCCGCCGACUACUACCGUUUCGCGGCGUUGACUUUUUGAUUUUCUUUACAAAGAAGAACUGAAGCCACCGUUUGGGCGCGAACUUGGUUGGAAAGUUCGUCGCAAAGGAUUUUGAAGAAAUUCUGAAGAGAUUUUGACCUUGAAAAAAUAAGUGGCGACUACACAAUGUCAAUUUGUCGACUGUUCGCUAAUUAGUUUUGCGGCUGUUAAAUACUUACUUGUUUGUUUUAAAAACUUAUAUUUCGUUAAGUUGAUACCAAGUUAGCGAGGCACUAGAAAAAAAUAAUCAUAUCGCAAAAGUAAGUAGUAAAUUUGUCGGUAGAUAUGGAAGUAAACAAAUUUGCCACUUUUUUAAUAAUGAAUGUCGCGCUAGAGUGGUCUCAAAUGAGUCACAAGCGAGGCACUACCGAAGAGGAUAAUAAUAAGUAAAUAACUAAUGCCCCCGACAAUAAAGAAUUAGCUAAUGAAAAUUUUUAUUAACACCUUACGGCAUUGAAAAAUCUGCCAUGAAAACUCUAUCCGGGGCGCACAAUGGAUUA
Long non-coding RNA from Photinus pyralis (common eastern firefly), 1828 nucleotides. RefSeq lists it as uncharacterized. The record is from RefSeq and is a predicted model, not a curated record. Lineage: Eukaryota; Metazoa; Arthropoda; Insecta; Coleoptera; Lampyridae. The transcript is spliced from 3 exons.